This 497-nucleotide ribosomal RNA is filed under the name uncultured bacterium. Its description in RNAcentral is "partial 16S ribosomal RNA". It matches the Rfam family "Bacterial small subunit ribosomal RNA", at positions 28 to 507 of the family's 1533-position model. The record is from RNAcentral.
GAUGAACGCUGGCGGUGUGCCUAAUACAUGCAAGUCGAGCGAACAGACGAGGAGCUUACUCCUCUGACGUUAGCGGCGGACGGGUGAGUAACACGUGGAUAACCUACCUAUAAGACUGGGAUAACUUCGGGAAACCGGAGCUAAUACCGGAUAACAUGUUGAACCGCAUGGUUCAACAGUGAAAGACGGUCUUGCUGUCACUUAUAGAUGGAUCCGCGUCGCAUUAGCUAGUUGGUAAGGUAACGGCUUACCAAGGCAACGAUGCGUAGCCGACCUGAGAGGGUGAUCGGCCACCCUGGAACUGAGACACGGUCCAGACUCCUACGGGAGGCAGCAGUAGGGAAUCUUCCGCAAUGGGCGAAAGCCUGACGGAGCAACGCCGCGUGAGUGAAGAAGGUCUUCGGAUCGUAAAACUCUGUUAUUAGGGAAGAACAAAUGUGUAAGUAACUAUGCACGUCUUGACGGUACCUAAUCAGUAAGCCACGGCUAACUACGUG